AGAACAAUGGCUCCAAGAGGAAGUGCACUAUAUUUUAUGUCCCUUAUCUUGCAUACUUAGCUCUUCCUGAGUUCCUACAGAAGUUAUGAAUCCAACAUAAAUCCAGGUUCAGAAGGUGAAGGUAACUAUACAUCACCACUAAUGCUGCAGGGCAGGGAUUGGGACAGUCUCAGGCUGGACUCAGUAGCGAAUGGAGCUGCAUUCAGGAACUGGAUUCAGGACUGCAUGGAAAGUCAUCAUCAGCAAACAGAUGGACAAGGUCCUCACUGCAGAGAUCCAAUGCACAGCAUGAGCAAGUAUGAUUCUCAUAUUUGGGGAAGCACGAUAAGAAUUUCAAAAUUCAGCCCAGAUGUCAUCAAAUAUAUUCCUCAUUGGAAAGAAAACCCGUAAUUAGCCAACCAAUGCUUUUCACUGUGAAUGAUCACAGUUGUUUUCAUUUCCUUCAGGAACAUAGCCUUGGAAGUAAUGGUAUUUUUAACUAUGGAUAGAAAGUUUGUGUUUUAUUUUGAGAAGACAUAUUUAUUGCCAAAUCCAAGAGUGUGCCUUCUCAGAGAUACCUCUUUGUAGGGACUUGGAUUCUUUUAUGGAAAGCUGGGGACAUACAUUCUUCCAGCUUUGCACUCCAAUGACAGCACCUAGCUGCAUAUGUAGAACAACAUGAAUCUUGGCCUUCUUAGCUCUCUGAAUAGGUAUAAGCAUGUCAGAAUUUUCUCAGAAGUUUUGAAACUUCUGUCCAUCCUACUGGGAUUCUUAAAUCUCUUUCUUUAAAUUCUCUUUAAAUGAGUCACAGUUUUGACUGCAACUAGAAAUUGAUAAUCAUCUGACAGCAGAGUGUAACAUUCCCUAACCCAUACUAAUUCUAACUGCGACCUGGAGAGUUUUGCCAUGUGAUCUGAAGCCUCCCAGCAUGGAGGGGACAAUGAGGUAGUUUAUUGACUUUCUCAGUCUUUUCUUUUACUGAGAGAUCUAUGUUACUGGUCUAAGAAACAUGCCUUGAUUAGCAUGUCUGCUGUCAGCUGUGACUUCUCAGCAACUUCUUUUCCAUUUCUAGUGCUGCAGUUCUCUGGGCUUAGUGGCUUUAUCAGGAUUAUUUGUCAUCACUUGUGAUUAGGUUGCAUUCCCACUGCAGCUCAAAGGUGAUUAAGCUAUUCCUUUCCAACAGGCACAGCCAACAGAUGAUGGUCCCCCCUGCUAAUACUGCAAUUUUACCCAGUAAUUGUUCCAUACAAAACCAGCUGUGCUGGAAAGGAAUGGCAGAACCUCCGGUUCUUUUA
Long non-coding RNA from Cuculus canorus (common cuckoo), 1274 nucleotides. RefSeq lists it as uncharacterized. NCBI's taxonomy places the organism in Eukaryota, Metazoa, Chordata, Aves, Cuculiformes, Cuculidae. The record is from RefSeq and is a predicted model, not a curated record. The transcript is spliced from 3 exons.